RNAcentral lists this ribosomal RNA (491 nucleotides) under Fusarium sp. AD-2012a. RNAcentral describes it as "eukaryotic LSU rRNA". The stretch from base 122 to 275 matches the Rfam family "5.8S ribosomal RNA". The record is from RNAcentral. Lineage: Eukaryota; Fungi; Ascomycota; Sordariomycetes; Hypocreales; Nectriaceae.
AACAUACCUAUACGUUGCCUCGGCGGAUCAGCCCGCGCCCCGUAAAAAGGGACGGCCCGCCCGAGGACCCCUAAACUCUGUUUUUAGUGGAACUUCUGAGUAAAACAAACAAAUAAAUCAAAACUUUCAACAACGGAUCUCUUGGUUCUGGCAUCGAUGAAGAACGCAGCAAAAUGCGAUAAGUAAUGUGAAUUGCAGAAUUCAGUGAAUCAUCGAAUCUUUGAACGCACAUUGCGCCCGCCAGUAUUCUGGCGGGCAUGCCUGUUCGAGCGUCAUUUCAACCCUCAAGCUCAGCUUGGUGUUGGGACUCGCGGUAACCCGCGUUCCCCAAAUCGAUUGGCGGUCACGUCGAGCUUCCAUAGCGUAGUAAUCAUACACCUCGUUACUGGUAAUCGUCGCGGCCACGCCGUAAAACCCCAACUUCUGAAUGUUGACCUCGGAUCAGGUAGGAAUACCCGCUGAACUUAAGCAUAUCAAUAAGCGGAGGAAAA